UGAUACCAGGGUCAAAAGGUCAUGCGUUUCAUACUUGCAUGAAAAAGCAUGACUUUGGGACCCGCACAUCAUAUAUCUAUUUUCAUCAAUUUUUUUAAGGAGGAGUCUGAGAUGUCUAAUUAUCGUAUAUUUGCCGGUUUUA
RNAcentral lists this small RNA (142 nucleotides) under Muricomes intestini. RNAcentral's name for it is "Clostridiales-1 RNA". The record is from RNAcentral. Lineage: Bacteria; Bacillati; Bacillota; Clostridia; Lachnospirales; Lachnospiraceae.